AGAUAAUAACCCAUCUUCAAAUGGCAUAUGGGAAGAACAGUGAUGCUACUAGGUCCAAGCACUCGAUGACGGAGCAACAUAGAAGGAACAAGAUUAAUGAAAGGUAUGUGUUUGUUUUAUCAUAAUUAUUGUUUUUGUAUUUGAUAUAUUUAAGUUUAUACCUUUUGUGGAGUAUGUUUAGUUUCUUAUAGUAAUACAUACUCCCUUUAAUAAUAUGUUUUUUGGUCAUUGGUGGAUUGUAGUUUGUGAUUUGAUGAAAUUAGUUUGAUUACAGUGGAAACACUCGAAAUGAAAUGAAAGGGAUAUAUGUAGCAGGGUUAAAGUAAUCAUGAGAUGAAGGUAUGAAAGAUGUGAGUUGUGAUCUGUACGUUUUAGAUCCAAUUUCUUAAAUCCUCAAAAUUCAUGAAAUAUUUAUCAACAACGUCAGAGAAGAUGAAAUCUACUAAAGGGCAUCAAGAAGACGAUUAUGGCGCCAAAAAGAUAAUUACCCAUCUUCAAAAGAUGGGAAGAAUAGUGAUGCUACUAGGUCCAAGCAUUCUGAUUUGUAAUCAACAUUGUUCUUUUUUCGUGAUUUCAUUUUUUUGCUUUGUGAUUGGUAUGAUUUGCAGGUGGAUGUUGCGAUGUUAGUUGUUCUUUGUUAGGGUUUACGCAGAGCAACAAGUUAAGGCACUCAUG
This 675-nucleotide long non-coding RNA is filed under the name Helianthus annuus (common sunflower). Lineage: Eukaryota; Viridiplantae; Streptophyta; Magnoliopsida; Asterales; Asteraceae. The record is from RNAcentral.